AAUGGCUGCAGUAAUAUAACUGUACAAAGGUAGCAUAAUCAUUAGUUUUUUAAUUAAAAGCUUGUAUGAAAGGUUGGACGAAGUAAAAUCUGUCUCUUUUUAAUAUAAUUAGAAUUUAAUUUUUAAGUAAAAAAGCUUAAAUUUAUAUAAAAGACGAGAAGACCCUAUAGAGUUUAAUAAUUUAUUUUAAAUAUUUAAUUUAGAUUUAUUUAUUUUAUUUAUUAUAUAAUUAUUUUAUUGGGGUAAUAGAAAGAUUAAUAUAAUUCUUUUUUUUAUUUUACAUUAAUAUAUGAAUUAAAUGAUCCAUUUUUAUGAUUAAAAGAUUAAAUUACCUUAGGGAUAACAGCGUAAUUUUUUUAAAGAGUUCAUAUCGAUAAAAAAGUUUGCGACCUCGAUGUUGGAUUAAAGAUUAAUUUAGGUGUAGAAGUUUAAAUUUUUGGUCUGUUCGACCAUUAAAUCUUUACAUGAUCUGAGUUCAAACCGGUGUAAGCCAGGUUGGUUUCUAUCUUUAUAAAAUUUUUAUAUUUUAGUACGAAAGGACCAAAUAUUUAAUAUAUAAAUAUUUAAUUGUUUUGAAUAU
This 580-nucleotide ribosomal RNA is filed under the name Duvalius klimai. Its description in RNAcentral is "partial 16S ribosomal RNA". The stretch from base 339 to 497 matches the Rfam family "Bacterial large subunit ribosomal RNA", at positions 2473 to 2632 of the family's 2925-position model. The record is from RNAcentral. Lineage: Eukaryota; Metazoa; Arthropoda; Insecta; Coleoptera; Carabidae.